CGUCAUUUCCAGGUAAUGAGCCACGCAUCGCAAGGACGCGAUGUUUGCCGACGUGAACUGUAGAACGACGCCGUAGCAGAAUUUCGCUGCGAGCUCAAAGGCCUCUGACCCGCCGGGAACUCCGGGUAGGUUGAGGUGGUAAGUGUUCUUCGUGUCUUUUGAUUCAAGAAGGAGCUUCCUGAUUCUUCCACUCCGAGAGACGAGAGGAAACUGAAAAAAAAAACAGAGACAAUGAGCCGACUUCUAUGGUCAAGUCACUCGUAACGUCCGAGACCGGCCUGGAAACACAUACACAAUUUUUUGAGGACCCAUAAGCCAAAAACGUUAAAAUCAUUCUUGUCUGAAAGAAAGAAAGAAAGUAAAAGAGAUUAGUACCAUUGAGGAGUGUGUCUGAUGCUUGAACUUGGGCGAAAUGCUUUUUUGCCAGAGACACUUUGCUUUGACUCAGGAACAGUAACAACACCCAUUUUAUCUCUUCUUUUACAAAACAGAUCCAAACUUUCUUUUUGGUUUUGGUUUUGGUGUUUCUUAUCAGACAAAAUUUAGCAAACCAAUGUUAUCGCAAAGACCUGCACAUAUGCUUUUGUGUUUCUACCAAGAUUGUUCUUUCUGUCGGCUGCAAA
Molecule: long non-coding RNA, 623 nt
Organism: Brassica rapa (field mustard)
Lineage: Eukaryota; Viridiplantae; Streptophyta; Magnoliopsida; Brassicales; Brassicaceae
Source: RefSeq, a predicted model, not a curated record